UAGUAAAAUAGCACAUUACACUGCCUUGUCGAGACAGAGUUGUGGGUUAGAGCCCCGCGGGUCCUG
Molecule: transfer RNA, 66 nt
Filed under: Maulisia mauli (Maul's searsid)
Lineage: Eukaryota; Metazoa; Chordata; Actinopteri; Alepocephaliformes; Platytroctidae
Description: tRNA-Asp
Source: RNAcentral